CGANAGAGCUACCAUGCAAGUCUCUUGAUCCUUCGGGUGAAGGUGGCGGACGGGUGAGUAACGCGUAAAGAACUUGCCUUACAGACUGGGACNACAUUUGGAAACGAAUGCUAAUACCGGAUAUUAUGACUGAGUCGCAUGAUUUGGUUAUGAAAGCUAUAUGCGCUGUGAGAGAGCUUUGCGUCCCAUUAGUUAGUUGGUGAGGUAACGGCUCACCAAGACGAUGAUGGGUAGCCGGCCUGAGAGGGUGAACGGCCACAAGGGGACUGAGACACGGCCCUUACUCCUACGGGAGGCAGCAGUGGGGAAUAUUGGACAAUGGACCAAAAGUCUGAUCCAGCAAUUCUGUGUGCACGAUGAAGUUUUUCGGAAUGUAAAGUGCUUUCAGUUGGGAAGAAGUCAGUGACGGUACCAACAGAAGAAGCGACGGCUAAAUACGUGCCAGCAGCCGCGGUAAUACGUAUGUCGCAAGCGUUAUCCGGAUUUAUUGGGCGUAAAGCGCGUCUAGGCGGUUUAGUAAGUCUGAUGUGAAAAUGCGGGGCUCAACCCCGUAUUGCGUUGGAAAACUGUUAAACUAGAGUACUGGAGAGGUAGGCGGAACUACAAGUGUAGAGGUGAAAUUCGUAGAUAUUUGUAGGAAUGCCGAUGGGGAAGCCAGCCUACUGGACAGAUACUGACGCUAAAGCGCGAAAGCGUGGGUAGCAAACAGGAUUAGAUACCCUGGUAGUCCACGCCGUAAACGAUGAUUACUAGGUGUUGGGGGUCGAACCUCAGCGCCCAAGCUAACGCGAUAAGUAAUCCGCCUGGGGAGUACGUACGCAAGUAUGAAACUCAAAGGAAUUGACGGGGACCCGCACAAGCGGUGGAGCAUGUGGUUUAAUUCGACGCAACGCGAGGAACCUUACCAGCGUUUGACAUCCCAAGAAGUUAACAGAGAUGUUUUCGUGCCUCUUCGGAGGAACUUGGUGACAGGUGGUGCAUGGCUGUCGUCAGCUCGUGUCGUGAGAUGUUGGGUUAAGUCCCGCAACGAGCGCAACCCCUUUCGUAUGUUACCAUCAUUAAGUUGGGGACUCAUGCGAGACUGCCUGCGAUGAGCAGGAGGAAGGUGGGGAUGACGUCAAGUCAUCAUGCCCCUUAUACGCUGGGCUACACACGUGCUACAAUGGGUAGUACAGAGAGCUGCAAACCUGCGAGGGUAAGCUAAUCUCAUAAAACUAUUCUUAGUUCGGAUUGUACUCUGCAACUCGAGUACAUGAAGUUGGAAUCGCUAGUAAUCGCAAAUCAGCUAUGUUGCGGUGAAUACGUUCUCGGGUCUUGUACACACCGCCCGUCACACCACGAGAGUUGGUUGCACCUGAAGUAACAGGCCUAACCGUAAGGAGGGAUGUUCCGAGGUGU
RNAcentral lists this ribosomal RNA (1398 nucleotides) under bacterium NLAE-zl-P305. RNAcentral's name for it is "bacterial SSU rRNA". It matches the Rfam family "Bacterial small subunit ribosomal RNA". The record is from RNAcentral.